GCCUGGGUGGCUCAGUCGGUUGAGCGUCUGACUUUGGCUCAGGUCAUGAUUUCGCGGUCUGUGAAUUUGAGUCCCAUACUGGGCU
RNAcentral lists this transfer RNA (85 nucleotides) under Felis catus (domestic cat). It matches the Rfam family "tRNA". Rfam says of the family: Transfer RNA (tRNA) molecules are approximately 80 nucleotides in length. Lineage: Eukaryota; Metazoa; Chordata; Mammalia; Carnivora; Felidae. The record is from Rfam by way of RNAcentral.